This is a long non-coding RNA of Sitophilus oryzae (rice weevil), 400 nucleotides long. RefSeq lists it as uncharacterized. The record is from RefSeq and is a predicted model, not a curated record. The transcript has 3 exons. Lineage: Eukaryota; Metazoa; Arthropoda; Insecta; Coleoptera; Curculionidae.
GGAAGCCGUUAUGUGGCUCUUAAAUUUUUCUGAUUUUUAAUAGAAAAAGUGAUUUUUCUGUGCACUGUUUGAGUCUAUUCUGUUUCUUAGGGCUUGUUUCGUCUCUUGAAAAUGAGUGUUAUUAAUAAUACAGACCCAGUAGGUACCUAAAGAACAUCUAAAAGAAGAGACUUGAUCACUUCUUAUAUAAUUCUGAUGUUUCGCCAUUAUUCUGGUUUACGAGAUUGGUGUUCUAUUAUCCGAUUAAAAUUUUCUGCAACUAAUCAAUGGAUAUAUACAGUUCCAGAGCAGUACAUUAAUUUAUCCUUUUCACGAAUAUUUUACCAACAAUGCAUCAGGACUUCUAAGUAUAUCUAAAAUUUUAUUUCUUUUGGGUAAAUAUAUUUUCACUGGUUUUUAA